This 464-nucleotide ribosomal RNA is filed under the name uncultured Methanosaeta sp. Its description in RNAcentral is "bacterial SSU rRNA". It matches the Rfam family "Archaeal small subunit ribosomal RNA", at positions 875 to 1338 of the family's 1478-position model. Lineage: Archaea; Methanobacteriati; Methanobacteriota; Methanomicrobia; Methanotrichales; Methanotrichaceae. The record is from RNAcentral.
AGCACCACAACGGGUGGAGCUUGCGGUUUAAUUGGAUUCAACGCCGGAAAUCUUACCGGGACCGACAGCAAUAUGAAGGCCAGGCUGAAGACUUUGCCGGAUUAGCUGAGAGGUGGUGCAUGGCCGUCGUCAGUUCGUACUGUGAAGCAUCCUGUUAAGUCAGGCAACGAGCGAGACCCACGCCCACAGUUGCCAGCGUACUCUCCGGAGUGACGGGUACACUGUGGGGACCGCCGCUGCUAAAGCGGAGGAAGGAAUGGGCAACGGUAGGUCAGUAUGCCCCGAAUAUCCCGGGCUACACGCGAGCUACAAUGGUUGGUACAAUGGGUAUCUACCCCGAAAGGGGAUGGAAAUCUCCUAAAGCCAAUCUUAGUCCGGAUUGAGGGCUGCAACUCGCCCUCAUGAAGCUGGAAUCCGUAGUAAUCGCGUUUCAACAGAACGCGGUGAAUACGUCCCUGCUCCUU